Molecule: ribosomal RNA, 571 nt
Filed under: Zenarchopterus sp. CX-2021
Lineage: Eukaryota; Metazoa; Chordata; Actinopteri; Beloniformes; Zenarchopteridae
Description: partial large subunit ribosomal RNA
Rfam family: Bacterial large subunit ribosomal RNA
Source: RNAcentral
CGCCUCUUGCAAACACCAGUAUAAGAGGUCCCGCCUGCCCUGUGAAUUUAUUUUUAACGGCCGCGGUAUUUUGACCGUGCAAAGGUAGCGCAAUCACUUGUCUUUUAAAUGAAGACCCGUAUGAAUGGCAUAACGAGGGCUUAACUGUCUCCUUUUUCCAGUCAAUGAAAUUGAUCCCCCCGUGCAGAAGCGGGGAUAAAUACAUAAGACGAGAAGACCCUAUGGAGCUUUAAAUAACAGACAGACCAUGUUAAGACACUUGACUAAACAAGUCCAAACUUUUGUAAACCUGUCUCAUUGUUUUCGGUUGGGGCGACCAUGGGGAAAAAAAUAACCCCCACGCGGUGAAAAAUAUUUUUCAUAACCAAGACUAACAAGUCUAAGCAUCAGAAAAUCUGACCUUAAAUGAUCCGGCCAUUCCGAUCAACGAACCAAGUUACCCUAGGGAUAACAGCGCAAUCUCCUUCUAGAGCCCUUAUCGACAAGGAGGUUUACGACCUCGAUGUUGGAUCAGGAUAUCCUAAUGGUGUAGCCGCUAUUAAGGGUUCGUUUGUUCAACGAUUAAAAUCCU